This 356-nucleotide transfer-messenger RNA is filed under the name Gammaproteobacteria bacterium. It matches the Rfam family "transfer-messenger RNA". Rfam says of the family: Bacterial tmRNA, also known as 10Sa RNA or SsrA, is named for its dual tRNA and mRNA-like properties. Its role is to liberate the mRNA from a stalled ribosome. The record is from RNAcentral. Lineage: Bacteria; Pseudomonadati; Pseudomonadota; Gammaproteobacteria.
GGGGGUGACUGGCUUCGACGCUGGUUGCGAAGCCAUCGGAGCAUGCCGAGGGGCAGAUGACCUCGCUAAUCCACCUGCAAAACAAUAGUUGCCAACGACGACAACUACGCGCUGGCCGCCUAAUCCGGCCAGCCCUUUCACUUGGCUCGCCUCUACGGCCGAGGGUUGAAAGGUCAACUAUAGAGGCUCGCGCGCCAGGCCGGUCCGUUGCCUGGCCGCUAAAAGUAAUCGGACUCGCCGGGGUGUGCGUCAGUCUGCCGACCUGCGCACCGGUUAACUCGAAGGCAGACUAUGCAUGUAGUAGCCGGUGUGUGUAGGAUCUGCGGACGCGGGUUCGAUUCCCGCCACCUCCACCA